This 492-nucleotide ribosomal RNA is filed under the name uncultured bacterium. RNAcentral describes it as "partial 16S ribosomal RNA". It matches the Rfam family "Bacterial small subunit ribosomal RNA", at positions 28 to 507 of the family's 1533-position model. The record is from RNAcentral.
GAUGAACGCUAGCUACAGGCUUAACACAUGCAAGUCGAGGGGAAACGGCAUUGAGUGCUUGCACUCUUUGGACGUCGACCGGCGCACGGGUGAGUAACGCGUAUCCAACCUUCCCAUUACUGUGGGAUAACCUGCCGAAAGGCAGACUAAUACCGCAUAGUCUUCGAUGACGGCAUCAGAUUUGAAGUAAAGAUUUAUCGGUAAUGGAUGGGGAUGCGUCUGAUUAGCUUGUUGGCGGGGUAACGGCCCACCAAGGCUACGAUCAGUAGGGGUUCUGAGAGGAAGGUCCCCCACAUUGGAACUGAGACACGGUCCAAACUCCUACGGGAGGCAGCAGUGAGGAAUAUUGGUCAAUGGACGGAAGUCUGAACCAGCCAAGUAGCGUGCAGGAUGACGGCCCUAUGGGUUGUAAACUGCUUUUGUAUGGGGAUAAAGUUAGGGACGUGUCCCUAUUUGCAGGUACCAUACGAAUAAGAACCGGCUAAUUCCGUG